GUGAAUCAUCGAAUUUUUGAACGCAAAUUGCACUCCCUGGUAUUCCGGGGAGUAUGCCUGUUUGAGGGUCGUUAGAACAAAAAUCGAAGCGUCGCUCUUUUUUUUAGGGUGAUUGCGUUCGAAUUGAGCCCUUCUUUCAAAGUUUAAUUCUGUCCAAGUUGCCUAAAAUUUCAUCAAUCGGUAACAUUUAAAC
RNAcentral lists this unclassified non-coding RNA (193 nucleotides) under Glomeraceae sp. Its description in RNAcentral is "partial contains 5.8S ribosomal RNA and internal transcribed spacer 2". The stretch from base 1 to 71 matches the Rfam family "5.8S ribosomal RNA", at positions 84 to 154 of the family's 154-position model. The record is from RNAcentral. Lineage: Eukaryota; Fungi; Glomeromycota; Glomeromycetes; Glomerales; Glomeraceae.